GUUUGAUGCCGAACUCCCAAAGGAUUUCCAAAUAAUUCCCAUAGAUUUCUCGCGGCCUCACUAUCAAUGAAAACAUGAUACAAGCUUUCAGAUUGUGGGUUGCUACAACAAUUGCAUCUCGACGCCUGUUGAUUUUUAUGUUUCCUAAUAGUGUCGUCAAAGGGGGGCUUUUUUUGAAUCAUUCUCCAAACCAAAAAGGACAUUUGGAACGGUAUACAAUAAUGCCAUACUUUGCUCAGAAGAAGAUUUCUCUGGUUGAUUGUUCUAACAGUGUGCCAGGUUGAUGCAUUAGAUUUUGCCUAUUUUCAUUGAGGUUCCAGAUAUCCUGGUCGUUAUUGUUCGAAUUUCCUCUAGAGAUGAUGUUUAUAUGUUGUAGAAUAUGAAUGGGCAGGAGUUUCUCCAAUUUUUUCGUGUUCCACUCAUCGUUCUUGAAAAAAUGAGAAACAGAAAGUUUAC
RNAcentral lists this long non-coding RNA (456 nucleotides) under Nicotiana benthamiana. RNAcentral describes it as "long non-coding RNA (NBEN_LNC031044)". Lineage: Eukaryota; Viridiplantae; Streptophyta; Magnoliopsida; Solanales; Solanaceae. The record is from RNAcentral.